UUGAAAUACGAACUCAAUAACAUAAGGUAUACUGUCUACAUUUCAUAUUCAUCUUAUUCUUUUGUGUAAGCAUAUAUAUGAUGUAAACUUCUUUUUCAGAGAGAGAGAGAGAGAGAGAGAGAGAGCUACAUAAGUAUUAUUUUCUUGGUAACAUAUUUUGAUAACUAUAAUACAUGUACAUGUAGAUCUAGAUAUGAUUUACAAUGUAUCUAUUGAUCAAACCAAACAACACACAAAAAGAAAAGAAAGAAAAAAGAAACACAAUCGUAUUUGAUGAAAAAGUACCUAUAGACCUACAUGUAUAUACUGAUCAUGCAUAUGAGUUUUCACAUAUUCUCUGCCAGUGAAUUUCAUAAUCAUCAUGUCUACAGUUUCUUAGCAGCAAGUACUUCUCAACCACAAUUCUGUUCGUAACUAUUUUUCUAAUCGCAGAUAUAUGUACUUGCGGACUAUUUUGAUAUUUACAAGAAAAUAUAUAUUGUUUUACUACAAGCAAAUCAAAUUUUGAAUGUCUAACUGUUGAUUUUUAUUAUACAUUUGUAGAAUCAAUAUUUUAUUUUUACUGACAUGCAUCCCGACUGAGAUAUUAAUUAUAGAAAAAGAAACUUAAGCAAUUACUUGAAUUUAGUAUGUAGUUCCUGUGUUUCAUCUAUCAUCUAAGGAUUUCAACGGUUUAGUUCAGUAAAAAUUGAGACUCCAGUAGUUAAGAAACCACUUUAAAUGAAAGUAGAUGGCUGAGGGGCACACGUACAUGUACAUGUGUUUACAAAUAUCCUUGACAAUUGCGAGGCGAAAUUAAUGUGUUGCUAAGAAAAAAGCAGUUCAUUCUUCAAAACAUUUCCAUGUAUUUGGUUAUCUCACAUGCAGAAUGUCCAGUCUUGUAUAUACCAUUGCUUUAUAGCUCAUAUUGUGAGAACAGAGAAAAGUCGGGCAGAAGAGGGGCACCUUAUAAUACCCCAUAAAGAUGCAGAAGAAAGUUUGUGUGACUGUAUGCUACACCGGUAUUGAGUUUAUUUCAUGAUUUUUAGACCUCUAAUAAACGUAAACUUUUCAUUAUAAUACAACAUAAAGCACAUUACAGAUUAUUUACAUUUAAAAUUGUAAACAAAGGGCGGCCAUUUUGAACUUAGAGUCGCAGGGACGCUAUUUAAAAAAAUCCUAUGAUAUAGAAAAACGAUGCAGAAAUUUAACACAUGCAUGAUUUUUUAAAUUCAGACGUUUGUGAAACAAUUUACACACAAAAUAAAUUAUAUAUCUAUAAAAGUAUGUUUUCCCAUAAAUCCUCUCCUGAUCGCUGAUUGGUUGUAAUUUUCGGCGGGCAAAAUUGAUUGUUGUUUGUGAGAGAAAACCUAGCGUGACUCAAAUGGAACCAUGUCAUGUUUUGAUUGAAUGGAAGAUCCAAAGAUUUUUCUGAGAAUAGGAGACGUCUACUGUUGUUGGGCAUCAUUCAGGUAUUUCCGGUGUUGACUUGAAACGUUUUUAUUCACGAUGUUGCGGAUUCAUCAUUGCAUUUGCAUGGGGUAGUGCAUAUGUUGUGUGUGGCCUUCUAAACGAUAAAUCUAUGGAUUAAAGGAUGAACAGGUCGAUGCAGGAAUAUUCAUUCUAAUGAUAAGGAAAUACGAAAUGCAAGGACAACCUCUAAGCAUGCAGUAUGCCUUAGAUCUAUACAAUGGUGGAAUGUUCCAAACUAGAUGAGCAGAAGAUGCAUUCCAUGACUGACUCCCCAUAUGAUAUGAAAGAGAGUCCAUGAGAAUGGAACCAACUUUCAGUGUUACAAUGGAUGAACACUCCUCCUGUCACAAGUCCAUCUUGAUUCAGUAAAGUGGUAGUCUAUUUAUCUAGGAAGCAACAAGACGGAUCUGGACAAGGACCAUAUUGACUCAAGUUUUGGUGUCAGAAGACCAUUUUGAUUAAACAUGUUAAAAGCACCACAGAAGUAAGAAGCUAGGACACCAGUUUUAUGUGAGCAUACCAUUUAAGGAUUCAUUACUGAACAGUUGAAGGAUAGUCACUAUGACAAGAAAAUGGAACAAUUGUAAUGAGCAUUGGGGUCCAUGUAUUUAGAGCUUUCCAUUUUUCUGUUGAAAGUCAUAUUGAUAUUGUUCUGUUUAUUAUUUUUUCUUACCAUCAAAAUGCUAUCACUCUUUAAGACAUAUUGAAACACUUUAUAGCUCACCUGAACCGAAGGCUCAAGUGAGCUUUUCUGAUCACAUUUUGUCCGUCGUCCAUCUGUAAACUUUUCACAUUUUCGACUUCUUCUCCAGAAGCACUGGGCCAAUUUCAACCAAACUUGGCCAAAAGCAUCCUUGGGUGAAGGUCUUUCCAGUUUGUUCAAAUGAAGGGUCAUGUCCCUUUCAAACGGGAGAUAAUACAAAAAAUGCAAAAAUAGGGUGGGGUCAUUUAAAAAUCUUCUUCUCAUGAACCACUGGGCCAGAAGAGCUGAAAUUUACAUGAAAGCUUCCUGACAUAUCGCAGAUUCACGUUUGUUCAAAUCAUGGCCCCUGGGGAUAGGAUGGGGCCACAAGGGGGGAUCAAAGUUUUACAUACAAAUAUAUAGGGAAAAACUUUAAAAAUCUUCUUCUCAAGAACCACUAAGCCAGAAAAGCUGAGAUUUACAUGAAAGCUUCCUGACAUAAUGCAGAUUCAAGUUUGUUCAAAUCAUGGGCCCCGGGGGUUGAAUGGGGCCACAAUAGGGGAUCAAAGUUUUACAUACAAAUAUAUAGGAAAAAUCUUUAAAAAUCUUCUUCUCAAGAACCACUGAGCCAGAAAAGCUGAUUUUUACAUGAAAACUUUCUGACAUAGUGCAGAUUCAACUUUGUUCAAAUCAUGGGCCCCAGGGGUUGGAUGGGGCCACAAUUGGGAAUCAAAGUUUUACAUACAAAUAUAUAGUUAAGAUCUUCUUCUCAAUAACCACUGAGUCAGAAAAGCUGAUAUUUACAAGAAAACUUUCUGACAUGGUGCAGAUUCAAGUUUGUUCAAAUCAUGGCCCCCGGGGGUAAGAUGGGGCCACAAGUCGGGGAGGGUCAAAGUUUUACAUACAAAUAUAGGAAAAAUCUUUCAAAAUCUUCUUCUCAAGAACCAUUGGGCCAAAGAAGUUGACAUUUACAUGAAGGCUUUCUGACGUAGUGUAGAUUCAAGUUUGCAAAAAUCGUAGCCUCCAGGGGUAGUUGGGGCCAUAAUUGGAACUAAGGUUUUACAUGCAAAUAUAUAUGGAAAGUCUUCAAAUAUGGGCCAAGGUGACUCAGGUGAGCGAUGUGGCCCAUGGGCCUCUUGUUAGUUCAUAAUACAAUGCUUUUUGAGAAAUAAUCAGAUAUCAACCUACAUACUUGAAUUUUGAAUCUGAUCCUUGUUUUUAUUACUUUUCUCUAACUUUAAAUUCUAUGAACAUCAAACAUUUGCUAAACACUGACUUGCUUUAAAAAAAACUUAUUGCUAUUCUUAGUUACUAAAUCGAAAGAUACAGAGACACAAAACAUUUACUCAUGAAUUCACUUUAAAAAAAAAUCCAGUGAGAGAUCAAUCAAAGGGAUCUGAAGACCCUUAAACCUGGUUAUUGUCCUUGAAUGUCUGCAGUUUUUUUGUUUGAGCACUAGCUUUUCUCAAAUACAGUAGAUGUUUUAUGACCUUGAAUUCUUGUCAACUCCAGUUACCAUCCCAUUAAUUUUAUGUUUUGACUUGAAUAUCUUUGAUACUAUUACAUGUACUCAGUUUAGGUUUUCUUAAUUAUGGUUCUUACUCUUUUGACCUUGAAUUUAGGGUCAAAGGUCAAGGCCAUACAUAUAUUUUCUAAUGUUUGCAUUUUUCAAACAAAUUGAGCAUUUUAAAUCAAAGUCACCUCUCUUUUACAAAGCACUAUGAUACGAUCUCUUAGAGGUUGUGUUUAGUCCCCUACCGACAAAAUGGAAAGGGACUUUAGGUUUGCACUCCGUCCGCCUGUCUGUCAGAUCAGUGUUAAGCACUUUUUGCUCUGUUCUUACAGAUAUACAUUUGAUAUUUAGUACAUUGCUUUGCCAUAACAAGUUACAAAUCUAGUUUGAAUUUUAUCUCAGUCCGUUGUACAUCAAACUUGGUGCUCAAGUACAUUGUAAGGAGUAAGUGACCUCCAUUGAUUUUGAUGUAGCAUGGUCAAAGAUCAAGUGUCAAACUGGACACAGGAAUACACCUUCUACUCAAUAUCUUGAAAAUCGUUUGUUUGACAGACAUCAAACUUAGUACACCGGUACAUCCUAAAAUGAAGAUGACCCUUAGUGAUUUUGAGGUGACAUGGUCAAAGGUCAAACUGGACAUAGGAAGAUACUGACCACUCAAUAUCUUGAGAACUCUUUGCUUGACAGACAUCAAACUUGGUACAUUGGUACAUCUUAAGAAGUAGAUGACCCUUAGUGAUCUUGAGGUCACAUGAUCAAAGGUCAAACUGGACAUAGGAAGAUACUGACCACUCAAUAUCUUGAGAACUUUUUGCUUGACAGACAUCAAACUUGGUACACUGGUACAUCUUAAGAAGUAGAUGACCUGUAGUGAUUUCGAAAUCACAUGGUCAAAGGUCAAACUGGAAAUAGGAAGAUACUGACCACUCAAUAUCUUGAGAACCCUUUGCUUGACAGACAUCAAACUUGCUACACUGGUACAUCUUUAGAUAAAUGACCCUUAGUGAUUUUGAGGUCACAUGGUCAAAGGUCAAACUGGACAUAGGGAGGUACUGUCCACUCAAUAUCUCGAGAACCCUUUGCUUGACAGACAUCAAACUUGAUACACUGGUACAUCUUAAGAAGCAGAUGACUCCAAAGGAUUUUGAGGUCACAUGGUCAAAGGUCAAACUGGACAUAGACAAUACUGACCACUCAAUAUCUUGAGAACCCUUUGCUUGACAUACAUCAAACUUGGCACACUGGUACAGCAUAAGGAGAAGAUGACCCCUAAUGAUUUUAAGGUCAAAGGUCAAGGGUUAAACUGUACAUAGUAAUAUAUUGUCUCCUAUACUUUAAGAAUUAUUUGAUUGAUUGACACUAAACUUGGUACACUGGCAAAGCAUAAUGAGUAGAUGACCCAUAUUGAUUUUUAGGUCACAUAGUCAAUCCACUCCUGACAUAGGAAGAUAUUGUCUUCUCAAUAUUUUUAAUUGGUGAUACUACUAUAAAAUUAGAUGAUGCAUGUGUAUAACCCUUUUCAAUUUUGCACCAUGGGGGCAUAUAUGUUUUACAAACAUCUCUUGUUUGGAUUUGAAUUAAUAGUUUUGAAAUUUUUGGAUUCUGUACUCAUUGAUGUUUGGGGAACAUCUUUAAAGAUCCCAAUUGAGAAUUAUAUAACAAUUUAUUUUCAUAGAAAUUAGGUUUGUGUAAAGGACAGUCAGAUAUAAUAUGAAAUUUACUGUAUAAAAAGAAGUGUUAGUACACAUGAUGUGUUAAACAAGAUACUGAGUGCUAGAAUGACAUUUCUUUGGAUUCUAUGUAGAAGUAUCCUAUAUACGAAUAUUGCUAGUAUAAGUUCACCAUAAGUAUUGUUAUAAUUCAUUGCACAUCUUUUUACAGAAACUAAAGAGUCGAAAGGCCCAGCUGGAGAGAAAUUCCCAUUUCUCGACCAAGGACAUAAAAAAAAAAAAGAUUAAAAAGGUGCUGACUAAGGAGGCAACGUCUCCAGAAGUAACGGAUGAUGAGGAAGCCACCCAGAGGAAGGUCUUACCAUUUAUAUGGGAGUCAUCCCUGCUGGGUAAUGUUAAGUGCGACCUGGACAGAGAGUAUGCUGAAUCUUUGCAACUUCAAUCAAAUAGACAAAAAGCCAAGGCCAUUAGAAGUAGAACGAAAAUGACUAUGACCCCACCACCUAGGAGCAUUCAAGAGUGGGCCGUUUCCUCUACUUAUAAAUGAUGCUAUUACUGUUAAUAGUUAUAUUUAAUUUCCUCAUUUCUAGCUCACCUGAGCCAAAGGCUCAAGGUCACAAUUAAUACUUUUAUACCAUUAUAACCAGUUUUUAUGAAAUUUUAAUAAUGCUGUUGAAGGAGAAUUGCAAUUUUUUGGAUGUUUAUAAUUGACACUGUUUAAGUAUGUCUAGCAUCUUAAAAAGUGAGAUGACCUAUAUAUUUCAUUUCAUAAUUUAUUAAUUUUAACUUAAAUUGAAAUAAAUGCAUUUUUGAUACUUUUAUCAGAGAAUAUUGCAAGUAUGGAGUUACCUUGAUAUAUUUAUACAGAUUUGUUCUGCUUUAGUACUAGUGUAUCAGUAUUAUUACAUCAAGUUCAUUUGUGUGAAUAUUAUAAUAUUUAAGAAUGAAUAAAACUGUCAAAUUGUG
Long non-coding RNA from Ostrea edulis (European flat oyster), 6283 nucleotides. RefSeq lists it as uncharacterized. The transcript is spliced from 3 exons. NCBI's taxonomy places the organism in Eukaryota, Metazoa, Mollusca, Bivalvia, Ostreida, Ostreidae. The record is from RefSeq and is a predicted model, not a curated record.